AAACAGGAAGCGGAAGAAAGUGCAAGAGGAAAGGGCCAUGCAGGGAAGAGGCUCUGUGUGUUACCAUAAUUAACACGUUGCAAUGCCAGACUGCUAGCAGCCGCCUGGCUCCGUAAUUUAUCCUUCCACCGAGCCAUUAACGUGACCCUGCGGGCUGCUAUUGCAACCGCGUGUGUACACGCACGUGUCCACCCACGCUGCCCGCUCUGCGCAGAGGAGGGCUCGACUUUCAGCCCCGGCAUCCUGAAAGGACCGAUGACCUCGGCUUGCUCCCAGCCUCCAGGGAUGACCCAGCUCGCUGUGGUCCAUGCAGGCAGGACUCGGCGGUGCCGGAGCCUACAGGAAGGGAUGGGGCACCAACACCGUCCCCUGAUGGCACGGACCAAGGCUAAGAGCAGGGUCAGCCCCAGCCCAUGUGACCCAGGCACUGGGGAGAAGGAGGACGAAGCCAGAUUCACAGAGGACUGAACAGGUAUGAAACGAGCCCCCCAGUCACUGCCAGCCCUGCUCCAUCUCCCGCCUGGCCGUGGAUACCCCCACCACCCCGCGUGGCCGGCGUAGUCCCUCCUUGGCAGAGCCAUCUCUUGCUUUCUCCCUGCUCCGCGUAAGGAGCCUUGGGGAGGAAAAUCCCCUUUUCCAGCAGCGGUGGCCCCGCGGGCGGUUGCCUCGCUGGGUGGAUGGGAGCCGCCGUAUGAAAGGGCUGGUGACAGGAGCUGAGCGGGGAGGGCACGGGACGGGAGCCAGGCUCCUCUCCCCAGCAGUGGUUCACAUAUCUUGGGUCCUGCUCUGUCCUCAAAGCACAGGAGGACCGGGGGGCAGGAGGGAGGGGAGGGCCCUUCGGCCAAAGCCGCUUGUCUUCAUGCGGAUGAUCGUUUCCAGCUGAGCCACCAGGAUGGGUUUUAUCGGCUACUUUUAUCCUCCAAGUGAGCUCCACAAACCCCAGGACCUCCACCGAUCUCUCUAGACUCCGUUGCAGCAGCUCGGAGGGGGUCCAAACCGCAGGCAGAG
This 1008-nucleotide long non-coding RNA is filed under the name Struthio camelus australis. RNAcentral's name for it is "lncRNA (ENSSCUG00000004468.1)". The record is from RNAcentral. Lineage: Eukaryota; Metazoa; Chordata; Aves; Struthioniformes; Struthionidae.